UCGGGAAUAUUGCGCAAUGGAGGAAACUCUGACGCAGUGACGCCGCGUAUAGGAAGAAGGUUUUCGGAUUGUAAACUAUUGUCGUUAGGGAAGAUACAAGACAGUACCUAAGGAGGAAGCCCCGGCUAACUAUGUGCCAGCAGCCGCGGUAAUACAUAGGGGGCAAGCGUUAUCCGGAAUUAUUGGGUGUAAAGGGUGCGUAGACGGGAAGGCAAGUUAGUUGUGAAAUCCCUCGGCUUAACUGAGGAACUGCAACUAAAACUAUCUUUCUUGAGUGCGGGAGAGGAAAGUGGAAUUCCUAGUGUAGCGGUGAAAUGCGUAGAUAUUAGGAGGAACACCAGUGGCGAAGGCGACUUUCUGGACCGUAACUGACGUUGAAGCACGAAAGUGUGGGGAGCAAACAGGA
Molecule: ribosomal RNA, 406 nt
Filed under: uncultured bacterium
Lineage: Bacteria
Description: bacterial SSU rRNA
Rfam family: Bacterial small subunit ribosomal RNA
Source: RNAcentral